This 4942-nucleotide unclassified non-coding RNA is filed under the name Stegodyphus dumicola. RNAcentral describes it as "myelin transcription factor 1-like, transcript variant X4". The record is from RNAcentral. Lineage: Eukaryota; Metazoa; Arthropoda; Arachnida; Araneae; Eresidae.
AAUUAAAGAUAUUCAAGAGAUCUCUUGGAAAGUCUCCAAAGAAGCUUCAAGAUGGGCUCUUGAUGAAUCACCGGGUGACGUCCCCAAAGCAGGUGACUUCGGCACCGGGCACGGAGAAUGAACAAAGGGGAAGAUAACCGAAGAGCCACCAGAUCCUCCAGGGGACCUCUAGAUUCAGUUCAAGAUGCACAAAGCCAUUCUCGCACUUCGAAUAGCUUACAAAAUCACAUGCCAAGAAAGCUGAAUAAGCUGCGAGCGUCCUCUGGAUGCCAGCUGACUAGCCGCAAACGAAAGCUUUCCAACGAGGCUGCUGAAAGUAUUCCAGUUAGGGAACCAAAGACCAACGAUGAUAAAUCGGCAGAUCAUCAAAAUUCCGAUGACAUUUUAGAAAGACUUUCAGCUGUUCCUGACAGAGCAGAACCAUCAAGGGAACAAGCUUUCGAUGCCUCCGGGCUACAAGUGCCGAAUACAGAUAAUAGUUGUGGAAUUCGUGAAUCUGACGAAGAUAAUCAAAUUGUGCAACGCGUAGUCGAGGAGGCUAUGGACGCUGUAGUGCGGGAGGAAGAAAAAGACAUGGACGAAGACACUCGCCGGAUUAGGGAAGCUGAAGCUGCUCUCAGGUCACUCUCUGGAGAUUUUGAGCCAGACACUGGCAUGGACAUUUUCACAGGUGUGUGUGGUGUAGUGACUACAGAACGUCCUUUCUUCGAAAAUCUAUUUGAAAAGAAAGAAGAGGUGGCGCCAAAGACAGCGGAAGUAGUAACGAACUCGUGGAAGGACGUUGUAACUCUUAGCGCCUCCUCAAGCUCUUGCUGUAGCAGCGAGAGAUCACCUCUCAGGUCUCCAAUUCUCUCUCCUAUGGUUAGUACCCACAAUAUUAAGGAAGAAAGAAGGGAUGAACCAGAACCGGUCACCAGCCCUCAGUUCCCUCAACCAAAAGAAGAGGAAUUUUCUCCUCAGGGAGCGCUGCGAUCUCAGCAACAUCCCCAACAGCUACCCCAGCCCCAAACACCGAUUAGCUCUCCAGAGACCAACUUCAGUGUGCCAGCUUCUGUGGACGCCAAACCGCAAAGUUGCACAAGUCAGUACAGUUCUGCCGAUGAGGUUUUCGAUGAGUUCACGCCCUUGCCUCCGGCGCAGCCCCAGGACGAUAGUAGGAGCGUAGACGGAGUUGCUCCAAAUUCAGGGGCGGUUGUUAAUGACGGAGAGCCAUACGACGUCGCAAGCCUACUCAAAAUAGAAGAGGAAUGUGCCAAUAUCCAGUCUCUUGUAGAAUCAGAUGGUUUCACAAUGCAUACGGACGCUUACUCUAGGGAUCAACAUCAAAUGCAUGAUCUUAAACCGACCAAUAUGCAUGACAUAAGACAACAUCUUCAUCAUCAACCGCAACAACCACCACCACCACCUCAACAAUACUGCCGAAUGGAGGACAGUUAUGUUGGUGCUGGGGACUACUUUCCAUCUUACGCGUGUCCACCAACUAGCCCCGCAUCUAGAAGGUACCUUCUUCUCGAUUCCAAACUUCAGGAACCUAUCAAGAGACCACUCUCAUUCGAAGAACACUUAUUACCGUUGCCUGAAGAUGACCAUCCCUUGGUCAUCGACGAAGGGCGACAACAGCAUCGUUAUGGGGGAUUAGAAGAUGAGGACGACAGUAAUUCCUUGCAGUCAUGUAGUCAGCAGAGCGGUAGCACGCCACAUUAUAAUAACAGCUGCUGUGAGAUGAUGCCUUCUCCUCACUCUGAUAUGGGUGAUGGGAGGAGGAUGCUUGAGUGUCAACAACCCUCACCACAAGAUCCGUCACUUAGAGACGGAAAAUGUCCUACUCCAGGCUGCAAUGGCUCUGGCCAUGUUACUGGUCUGUAUUCUCAUCACCGAAGUUUAUCAGGCUGCCCGAGGAAAGACAGGAUAACACCUGAAAUUUUAGCCUUACAUGAGACAAUACUGAACUUAUCUGGUUGUCCCAUUGCCGCAAUGGAGAAAAUGGUACAAAAGGAACAAAGAGCUACGCCAAAACCAUCACCCCCAGUUGGACAAAUUCCCUCUGGUCCGUCAUCUCCUGACUGUGUUAUGAGGACAUUAUGUUACGUCAAACAUACGGAUAUGCCGGACUAUAGGUAUCCCAUGUAUGGACAGCCCGUUCGAUCUCCUAUGGAUAAAUACGGGCGAUCACAAACACCAGACUACAAUUCAUAUGACAGUCAAAGGUUUUACGGCAGGCCAAUGGUACCUAAGAUUAAAUCAGAAUCACCAGACGGGCAGACGAUGAUGAAUAAAUCAAACCUGCCAUUGCCCUCCAUGUGUGUUGGUCAGAGGAAUUCCGUUGUGGUAUCAUCAAAACAAAUAUAUUCUCCACCUCCUCCACCAACCGGUGAUUCAGAGCAGACAGAACCUGUCGACUUCUCUACCGGACAUGACGAACGAGUGAGGCCGGACUUAGCCGGACCUCACAUGUUACCUAAUCCCACACCUUCACCCUCACCCAGGUCGCCGGCCGCGGGACGGUCUCCCUUGGAUGCAUCACCACACUGCCCCCCGCAACAUGCCCCUUACCCACAAAGUCCUCUAGGACCACCCCCUCCGGCGGAUAGGAUACAGCAUCAUCAUUUGAUGCCUUCACCUCCGGAGUAUGUACCAGAAAAAUGCAUGCAGCCAAAAAUGAAAAGUCGCGGAAGGGAAGGACGGGAAUUAAUUCAUUGCCCUACCCCCGGAUGUGACGGCAUGGGACAUAUAUCCGGAAAUUACGCAACACACCGAAGCCUAUCUGGUUGUCCACAUGCAGAUCGAUCUCAAAUUCAAGCCCAACACCAGGAAUUAAAACCCAACUUGUGCUACAAUGAGAAAUCCAGUGGGCAAUGGUAUAGGUAUCCAAGCAGCCAGCAUGAUAAAUCAAUGUCACCAAUUCUCAGAUGUCCUACUCCUGGAUGUGAUGGUUCUGGCCACGUUACUGGAAAUUAUUCAUCACAUCGCAGUCUAUCAGGCUGUCCUAGGGCGAAUAAACCCAAGAAAAUGGUAAACAGAGAAGACAAAAAUGAUUCUGAACCACUCAGAUGCCCAAUACCUGGAUGUGAUGGUUCAGGACAUGUAACUGGAAAAUUUCAAUCUCACAGAAGUAACUGGUGUGGAGGAUCUUUCCAACAUCCGAGCCCUGGAAGAAGAGAUAAUGGAACUCCAGGAAUACAAUGCCCGAGUGGAAUCGGAGAUGUACCAGCUCCGAACAGAUAUCACCCAAAUGGAGCAACCACAGAGACAUUCGGACCGAGAGAGUCCUCAUUCCACUGCUCAGAAGACAAACCACCUGACAGAGUAUUACGAAUCCCUUCGGAACAAUUUCAUCAACCUCCUGGACCACGUCCGGUUACCCAACUUAGACGAGAAACCUACCCCGGACAAUUUCGACACGUACUUGAACAGACUUCAGUCUCUCUGUGCGGACAACUCUAAAGAAGAAGAAAAUCGGAAUGUUUUCUCAACGGUCAAACAAGCAUUGCAGGACUUCUCCGCACCCAUGCAACAAGCCAAUGGUUGGGUAAGGUCUUGAAGUUUUGUAAUUGACCAUAGAUCCCUAUUCUACCUCCCACCAAACUCUGCCAGCUGGAGUUGCAAAACGGCACUAACGCUCAUACGCUUGUACAUAAAAAAUUGAGCUCUGCAUAUGGAACUCAUCAUACCAAGCAUAAAUACGUGUAAUUCCCGAGAGAAUUUUUAUUGAGAAAUUAUUAAAAAACUCUCUAACAUAGUUUAAAAGAAUAUUGUAUUGUAUAUAAAGGGAAGACUUCUAGUCUUCUCUUAGAGUAGAAGGCGACGAAGCUGAAACUAUAUGUCAACGAGUUCAAACGCAGAGGUCAACUGAAGAACGCUCACUUUCCAGUCACUUCUCUUCGUUUGACACUCCUGUUGCUGUUGAAGUUUACAAAGUUAGAAGGUAUAGAAGAUUAAAUAUUUGUAGAUUGCUUCCAACUGUUAGUUUUAAAAUACAGUCUUUCAGUGAUUAAGCAAAAUCAAAUUACAGAAAAAGAAAAAAUAGCUUUUGUUAUGCUUUUAUGGCAACUGAACCUCAACCAAAACUAUUCCAGUCAAAUACGAGUAUCAAACCAGGUAUACAAUACGUAAAAUAAUCUACGCUACUUGAAAAUGAUUUCUCAGACCUUGUUAAUUACGCCUCAGAAAGCCCAAAAAAUAGGACAAAUACCUUUUAGUAUGGACGAAGACUGAAAACAGUUGUUGUAGAACGUCGAACCGAACGUCGGAAAUGGCGUCAAAAUGUGAAUUUCUGGAAACUUCGUCUGUGUUAGUUCAUGUAAAUAGCUUCUUCCAGUGAACUUGAACGUAGUUCAACUAUUAUAUGAUGUGAUUCUCUCACCACCUGCAGGGAUUUAGACCCAUAGUGAUUUGUAAAUCACUUUUGUUGUUGGCGCUUUUUUUAAGUGUGUCCAUGUUACUGACGAAUGUAUAGUGUUAGAUCAUUUCGUUUCCUCAUCGCAAAGAAUUUAUGUUUCUCACAUUCGCGUAUUUCACAGUCAUACAUAACACAUUUUUUCGCGAUCUAUUUUUAUGGACUGAACCAUAUAACUACUUAGUUUUUCUGGUCUCACUUUAGCUCUAGAAGUGAUUUGCUCAUUUAUUUAGAAUAUAGCAACACUUUCAACAAAAUUCGUUGUACAUACUGAGAAACAAUGAAUAUCCAGCAGUUUGAAAAAUGUCAGAGAAAUAUGCAUAUAUGUAAUUCCAAAGAAUUCUAAAACAGUUAAUUAUAAUGGUAAGUUUAUUAUAAAUAAUUGUAUCAGUAUCCAUGCUCAUGGACGAAUUGUGCAUCAGAACUGUAAAAUAUUUGUUAAACAUUAUUCUAAUCUGAAUAAUGAAUAUAAAAUUAUUACAAAUUACGGUUUGGUAGAUCUGGUUAAAAUGCAUAUCACGGAAUACGGAACUCUAACAACCUAAC